Molecule: ribosomal RNA, 451 nt
Filed under: uncultured soil bacterium
Lineage: Bacteria
Description: bacterial SSU rRNA
Rfam family: Bacterial small subunit ribosomal RNA
Source: RNAcentral
AGACUGAACGCUGGCGGCGUGGUUAAAGCAUGCAAGUCGAGCGGACCCGCAAGGGUUAGCGGCGAAAGGGUGAGUAAAAGUAUCCAACGUACCCCGAGGUGUGGGAUAGGCAGGGGAAACCCGGCAUAAUACCACAUGAUCUCUACGGAGCAAAGAUUUAUCGCCUUGGGAGCGGGGAUACACCUAUCAGGUAGUUGGCGGGGUAACGGCCCACCAAGCCGAAGACGGGUAGCAGGUGUGAGAGCACGGCCUGCCACAUCGAAACUGAGACACUGUUCGGACUCCUACGGGAGGCUGCAGCGACGAAUCUUCCGCAAAUGGGCGAAAAGCCUGACGGAGCGACGCCGCGUGUGGGAUGAAGCGGCUUUGCCGUGUAAAACCACUGUCAGGAAUAGAAACAUUGAUCAUUUCCAAAAGGAAGGGCGACUAAACUCUGUGCCAAGCAAGCCGC